RNAcentral lists this ribosomal RNA (227 nucleotides) under uncultured bacterium. RNAcentral describes it as "partial 16S ribosomal RNA". It matches the Rfam family "Bacterial small subunit ribosomal RNA", at positions 383 to 607 of the family's 1533-position model. RNAcentral also lists the same sequence under 1 other name. The record is from RNAcentral.
CUGAACCAGCCAAGUAGCGUGAAGGAUGACUGCCCUAUGGGUUGUAAACUUCUUUUAUAUGGGAAUAAAGUUUUCCACGUGUGGAAUUUUGUAUGUACCAUAUGAAUAAGGAUCGGCUAACUCCGUGCCAGCAGCCGCGGUAAUACGGAGGAUCCGAGCGUUAUCCGGAUUUAUUGGGUUUAAAGGGAGCGUAGGUGGACAGUUAAGUCAGUUGUGAAAGUUUGCGG